Caenorhabditis elegans is the source of this 96-nucleotide non-coding RNA. Lineage: Eukaryota; Metazoa; Nematoda; Chromadorea; Rhabditida; Rhabditidae. The record is from Ensembl.
GAAGAUUUCUCAGUUUGAACAGUUUGGUCUGGCUGAAUAGCUUUAUUUUUGAAAAGAUGAAGGUUGACAUUCCUAGGCUUUAUUAAAGUCUAUUUA